RNAcentral lists this long non-coding RNA (3132 nucleotides) under Triticum aestivum (bread wheat). RNAcentral describes it as "long non-coding RNA (TAES_LNC001220)". Lineage: Eukaryota; Viridiplantae; Streptophyta; Magnoliopsida; Poales; Poaceae. The record is from RNAcentral.
UGCGCGUCGGCUCUGCCUCCCCACAACGUGCGUCCGCUACACGCUUCCCACGACACGCAAGGGGAUCUCUUUCUGCAACGAAUCCCUCACCAAUUUGAGCGUCGAGGACAGGCAUAUCCUUUCCCGUAAGCAAUCAUCAUUAAUAAGGAGAAAAUAUUUAUGUUCAGUUUUGUGCUUGCUAAUUCACCCCAAACGUCCGGUCUUGCUAUUUUUGUUAUAUAUAUGUUCAGUUAUGUGCUUGAUAAUUUACUCCACACGUCCGACCUUGCUAAAAAAAUUAGAGGCACAGAUCUUGCUAUUAUCUAUACCUACUUCGUAUCACCUGAAGAAGCUACGUUGAUUGCCCAUGUUUUCUUUGCUAUACUACUUCUUCUUAGCUAAUGUCGUUCAAGACUAGAGCAUGUUUAUCUGAACUAAGAAAGAAUGCUAACUUAUUUGGCUGAACUACAUCCCUCCUCUCCGUGAUGGCUGCUAUCUCCUUUUUGUUUUGGGAAAGGACCUCAGAUUAAUUAAACGUCCAGCCAGAGAUACAAGGCAUCCCAUACAGUGUGAAUGAUUUACUCAAGUUCUAAGCUAUCCAAGGCGUUGGAUUUUUCCUGGACAUGGUUCAGAACGAAGACUGUACUGACAUAUAGUAAUUGAAAAGCUUACAUCACAGAAUGAUAUAAGUAAGAAAUGAUACUCAAUGUAUUGGAACACUGAUGUUGGUUUUAGAUAUGGAGUAAAGUUUCCCAGGGAAGAAUCACUUUUCUGAACCAUGCACAUUUUCUCACAUUAUGCCAGUUAGAAGGAAGAGAGUUAAGAACAUUAACACGUAUCUUUGGUGAAUAUCGUUAUACUAUGUCCAAUGAUAUACCAUGUAUACAUAUGUAAAAGGUUAAAAGUGACAAAUAUCUACCAAAAGAAACCAUGCCUAGGAGCUAGAUAGAUUCUGGCCAAAUAUAUUCUGAAGAAGGGAGUUGGAACCUUGCAGUUGAUUUUCUACAUCAAAUUUGGUAGCCUGGAGAUGCAGAAGGAGUAGGCACAAGGAGGCGGACGGGGGUAGUAAAUUUACUAUGUGUUAGUUGUUACACUGAAAGAAAGCAUUAGAAAGUUAUAUAAAGAUAACGAGGAAUGGGUAUAUUAUUUGUAGUAAACAAAUCUAGACACAUCAGUUGUAAAUGUUUAGGUUUGUGAAGUUUGUGAAGACGAUGUUCGUGGAGAAUCGAUGUUGAAAUUUGUUUGCAAUAUCAUUUACUUUCCAUACUUGUUUAUUGGCCUAGCAAAUUCAUAUGUACGGCUUGCAUUGCCAAUCAUGGUACUAUUUUUCGUGUUUAUGUAUGGUAUUUUCCCAAAGAUUCACAUAUGCUGUCAGCUGAGUUGGGGGCAAGCCUGGAAAUCACUUGGAAGUUAGAGGAGGUGUGGUGUGUAUUCAUGCAGUUCUGCUCAAAAAAACUUUAUUCUAUCACUGUAUUAUAACCCUGCAAAUUAAUUUUUGUUUUUCAUUAAUGCAUCUUCAACAGUUUACCAGUGAGUAUAGAACUUAUUUAUCUUUGAUCUGAUAUAAGAGGUACUAUAAUUCUUGUCGUGACAAAACUCAAAUUUAGAUUACUUUUGGGCAACUGAAGUUGGGGUUUAGACUUAUGCUUCAUGCAUAUAUGACAAAAUUGGACAUGAUAUAGAAUUAUAGACUGUAUUACUCAUCUCCUUUGAACAUAUAUCAUUUUCAAUUUCUCUGUUUUUUUCUUGUUCUGUAGCCAACAUUGGUAAUGAAAUGACACAAUAUAGAGCAUGAGAUGUGUCGAUGGCAUGUAACAUUUUUCUUAUUUGUCACCUAAUUUGCAGUUUCUUUUAUAUCCAUUUAUAACUUUUUAAAUAUUCAAAAUGUGCUUACUGGAAUUAGUUGUUUCCUGUCAAAGUUGAGGGCUUUAAACAGUGGACUGUAAUGUGAGUACUGUAGAUUAGAAUGUGCUUACUUGUUUCAUCUGUUUUUUACCACUGCAAGUGAAUAUGGCCUACGUACAGAGGUGAAAGCUUUAUCAAUUAAUAGGAAGUUUGUGAUUGGAUGGAUGCUCCCAACAACCAGUUCUUCCAAGGACAUCCCCGUGGCUCCGCGACACUCUUUCAGGUUUGCCUCUUCUUACUUAUCUAGCCACUGCCCAGUGGGUGUUAUUAUUGUUGUUAGUCCAUGACUGAUAGAAUCUGGAGGUUGUUAAUGCAGUUACUCAAUGGACUAAUAUGACCUUUGCACCGAACCAUUUCUUCUAAAAAUUAUUCACCUUACGUCCUUACCUUUGUUCUACCGUACUACUUUUAAUUUUUAUCAGCAUGCUCCAGUGCCUAUAAAUUAUUGCUAUCGUAGCUUGUGCCAACAUGAAUGUGUGAAAUUUCUAAUGUAUACAGAUUUUGCUAAUGGUCAUAGCUCCAAAUUUCAUCUUGGUAAAUUCAUGUGCUUAACUUUUCUUUUAGGUAAGCUAAGUUUCUCUUCCCGGGGUUUAUAUUGCCUGGACGUUAAUUUUUCUAUUGCCUCAUCUUGGGUCAUACUUUGUGAUACAACCAUCUAUUUUUAUGUGCCUUGGCUUUAUUAUUAUUUAUUUUGAGUUCACUCAACAUAUCAUAAUCUUUUUUUGCUUUAUCCGCAUUUUAGUUCAACAUGCCAUCUUGCAGACAUGGCUACUAUAUCUGUUUGUUUCAAGCAUCAGCGGCAUCCAUGGGCUUGACAACAAUCUGAAGCGAGUAAUUGGUGGUGAGAGAUUUCUGAAUAAUGUAACCUGAAUAAGGAUGCUAUCGUGCUAUUCAUCUAUGUAUGCUGCUAUUGUAGGAACACAAUUUCUGAAUAACCAAAUUGGCACAUUUUCAGAUCAACAUUUUGUCUUCAACAUUACUAAAAUUUUUAGAGUUCUGAUUCAAUUGUAUUUCAGAAUACUUGCGACCUGAAGAAUAGAGCAAUUCUUAGUGUUUGUUUGGAAGCCUUUUUUUAGAAGUAUUUAUAUAGGUUAUUUAAAUUGGGUUCAAUUAUUUUUCCUUCAAUGAAAUUUCAUGCCCCUAUAAAUAUAAUCUCUUAACUAUCUAAACAUGCAUUGCACUAUGUGUUGACAUGCUACCAUUGUCUAAUAUAUACCUAAACUUUCAUUUUACUCCACCCGAAUUUUC